UCAAAAAUGGCUCUGCUUACUGACCGUCCCUAGAGCAAGUGACAAAGGGCUUGGUGGUUGGUAUCCGAGACCCAAAUUCGAAUUCUAAUUGAUUCACAUUUCCAACUAAGUUUAUUUCUAAAUAAAAUAAACGAAGCGGGUAGCAUGCUACCUAUCUCUCUUAAAAAAAAAAAAAGUUAUUUAACCGACCAUCCCUAGAGCAAGUGGCAAAGGGCAUGGUGGUUGGUACCCGAGACCCAAGUACGAAGCCUAGUUGAUUCACAUUUCCAGCUAAGUUUAUUUCUAAAUGAAAUAAACGAAACGGGUAGCGUGUUACCUAUCUCUCUCAACAAAAAAAAAAAAAAAAGGCUCCGCAUUUGCUUCCAGUUUCAGC
RNAcentral lists this long non-coding RNA (373 nucleotides) under Ananas comosus (pineapple). RNAcentral's name for it is "long non-coding RNA (ACOM_LNC038812)". The record is from RNAcentral. Lineage: Eukaryota; Viridiplantae; Streptophyta; Magnoliopsida; Poales; Bromeliaceae.